This 2896-nucleotide ribosomal RNA is filed under the name Clostridioides difficile. Its description in RNAcentral is "23S ribosomal RNA". It matches the Rfam family "Bacterial large subunit ribosomal RNA". The record is from RNAcentral. Lineage: Bacteria; Bacillati; Bacillota; Clostridia; Peptostreptococcales; Peptostreptococcaceae.
UCAAGUUAUUAAGGGUGCAGGGCGGAUGCCUUGGCACUAGGAGCCGAUGAAGGACGUGAUAAGCUGCGAUAAGCUUCGGGGAGUUGCACGUAAACUUUGAUCCGAAGAUUUCCGAAUGAGGAAACUCACUUAGAGUAAUGUCUAAGUAUCAUUAAGUGAAUACAUAGCUUAAUGAGGGGAACUCAGGGAACUGAAACAUCUAAGUACCUGAAGGAAGAGAAAGAAAUUCGAUUCCGUAAGUAGCGGCGAGCGAACGCGGAUUAGCCCAAACCAAUAAAGUUUUCUUUAUUGGGGUUGCGGACAUAUCAUAACGAAGAGGUAUCGUAAUUGAAGAGGUUUGGAAAGACCCACCACAGAAGGUAAUAGUCCUGUAUGUUAAACGAGAAGACUUNAGAUAUGAUCCAGAGUACCACGGGACACGUGAAACCCUGUGGGAAGCAGGAGGGACCACCCUCCAAGGCUAAAUACUACCUAGUGACCGAUAGCGUAUAGUACCGUGAGGGAAAGGUGAAAAGAACCCCGGGAGGGGAGUGAAAUAGAACCUGAAACCCUGCACUUACAAGCUGUGGAAGCACAUUUCUUGUGUGACCGCGUACUUUUUGUAGAACGGGCCAACGAGUUACGUUAAGUAGCAAGGUUAAGCACUUAAGGUGCGGAGCCGUAGCGAAAGCGAGUUUUAACUGAGCGUUCAGUUACUUGACGUAGACCCGAAACCGGGCGACCUACCCAUGAGCAGGAUGAAGCGAAAGUAAAAUUUCGUGGAGGUCCGAACCCACGAGCGUUGAAAAGCUCGGGGAUGACUUGUGGGUAGCGGUGAAAUUCCAAUCGAGCCCGGAGAUAGCUGGUUCUCCCCGAAAUAGCUUUAGGGCUAGCCUCAAGGUGAGAGAUACGGAGGUAGAGCACUGAAUGUCCUAGGGGGUAUUGCACCUACCGAAGACUAUCAAACUCCGAAUGCCGUCAUCUUAUACUUGGGAGUCAGACUGUGGGUGAUAAGAUUCAUAGUCGAAAGGGCAACAGCCCAGAUCGUCAGCUAAGGUCCCUAAAUGUAAGUUAAGUGGUAAAGGAUGUGGGAUUGCACAGACAACCAGGAUGUUGGCUUAGAAGCAGCCACUCAUUCAAAGAGUGCGUAAUAGCUCACUGGUCGAGUGAUCCUGCGCCGAAGAUUUCCGGGGCUAAAACUUACUACCGAAGCUACGGCAUCAGUAAUGAUGGGUAGGGGAGCUUCCCAUACGGGUUGAAGCAUGACCGUAAGGACAUGUGGACAGUAUGGGAGUGAGAAUGUUGGCAUGAGUAGCGAGAUGUGGGUGAGAAUCCCACAGGCCGUAAACCCAAGGUUUCCAGGGGAAGGUUCGUCCGCCCUGGGUUAGUCGGGACCUAAGCUGAGGCCGAAAGGCGUAGGUGAUGGACAACAGGUUGAUAUUCCUGUACUACCGAUAACCGUUUGAGAGAAGGGAUGACACAGUAGGAUAAGCUAAGCACACUGUUGGUUAUGUGUGCCCAAGCAUUGAGGCAGUCAAAGUAGGCAAAUCCGCUUUGAUAAUGCUGGGAUGUGAUGGGGAGCGAAAUUUAGUAGCGAAGUAGCUGAUUUCACACUGUCAAGAAAAGUCUCUAUCGAGGUUAAAGGUACCCGUACCGCAAACCGACACAGGUGGGUGAGGAGAGUAUCCUAAGGCCAGCGAGAGAACUGUUGUUAAGGAACUCGGCAAAAUGACCCCGUAACUUAGGGAUAAGGGGUGCCACCAUCAGGUGGCCGCAGAGAAUAGGCCCAAGCGACUGUUUACCAAAAACAUAGGUUUCUGCUAAGUCGCAAGACGAUGUAUAGGAGCUGACGCCUGCCCGGUGCUGGAAGGUUAAGGGGAUCUGUUAGAGCAAUCGAAGCAGUGAACUUAAGCCCCAGUAAACGGCGGCCGUAACUAUAACGGUCCUAAGGUAGCGAAAUUCCUUGUCGGGUAAGUUCCGACCCGCACGAAAGGCGUAACGAUUUGGGCACUGUCUCAACAACAGACUCGGUGAAAUUGUAAUUCCGGUGAAGAUGCCGGAUACCUGCGACAGGACGGAAAGACCCCAUGGAGCUUUACUGUAGCUUGACAUUGGGUCUUGGUACUACAUGUACAGGAUAGGUGGGAGGCUUUGAAACCAGGACGCCAGUUUUGGCGGAGCCAUCCUUGGGAUACCACCCUUGUAGUACUGGGACUCUAACCAUAGGCCAUGAAUCUGGUCUUGGGACACUGUCAGGUGGGCAGUUUGACUGGGGCGGUCGCCUCCCAAAAGGUAACGGAGGCGCUCAAAGGUUCUCUCAGUACGGUCGGAAAUCGUACGUAGAGUGUAAAGGCAAAAGAGAGCUUGAUUGCAAGACAUACAGGUCGAGCAAGGAUGAAAAUCGGACUUAGUGAUCCGGUGGUUCUGCGUGGAAGGGCCAUCGCUCAACGGAUAAAAGCUACCCUGGGGAUAACAGGCUUAUCUCCCCCAAGAGUCCACAUCGACGGGGAGGUUUGGCACCUCGAUGUCGGCUCAUCACAUCCUGGGGCUGUAGUAGGUCCCAAGGGUUGGGCUGUUCGCCCAUUAAAGUGGUACGCGAGCUGGGUUCAGAACGUCGUGAGACAGUUCGGUCCCUAUCCGUCGCAGGCGUAGGAAAUUUGAGAAGACCUGUCCUUAGUACGAGAGGACCGGGAUGGACGUACCUCUGGUGUACCAGUUGUCCUGCCAAGGGCAUGGCUGGGUAGCUAUGUACGGAAUGGAUAAGCGCUGAAAGCAUCUAAGCGCGAAGCCAACUUCAAGAUAAGAUUUCCCACCGCAAGGGUAAGACCCCAGAAAGACUAUCUGGUUGAUAGGUCGAAGGUGUAAGUGCAGCAAUGUAUUUAGCUUAUCGAUACUAAUAGGUCGAGGACUUGACCAA